This 254-nucleotide ribosomal RNA is filed under the name uncultured bacterium. RNAcentral describes it as "partial 16S ribosomal RNA". It matches the Rfam family "Bacterial small subunit ribosomal RNA", at positions 524 to 776 of the family's 1533-position model. The record is from RNAcentral.
UACGGAGGGUGCAAGCGUUGUCCGGAUUUAUUGGGUUUAAAGGGUGCGUAGGCGGCUUUUUAAGUCAGUGGUGAAAUACAGCAGCUCAAACUGUUGAGGUGCCAUUGAUACUGAGAGGCUUGAGUACAGAUGAGGUAGGCGGAAUUUAUGGUGUAGCGGUGAAAUGCAUAGAUACCAUAAAGAACACCGAUUGCGAAGGCAGCUUACUAAGCUGUAACUGACGCUGAGGCACGAAAGCGUGGGGAGCGAACAGG